GACGAACGCUGGCGGCGUGCUUAACACAUGCAAGUCGAACGGGCCUUGUCCCCUUUUUUUUGGGGGUGGGGUUAGUGGCGAACGGGUGAGUAACACGUGAGUAACCUGCCCCUCACUUCUGGAUAACCGCUUGAAAGGGUGGCUAAUACGGGGUGUUCUGGCCUGCUCGCAUGGGUGGGUUUGGAAAGAUUCGACCGGUUUUGGUUGUUUUGGUGGGGGAUGGGCUCGCGGCCUAUCAGCUUGUUGGUGGGGUGAUGGCCUGCCAAGGCUUUGACGGGUAGCCGGCCUGAGAGGGUGGGCGGUCACACUGGGACUGAGACACGGCCCAGACUCCUACGGGAGGCAGCAGUGGGGAAUAUUGCACAAUGGGCGCAAGCCUGAUGCAGCGACGCCGCGUGAGGGAUGGAGGCCUUCGGGUUGGGAACCUCUUUCGCCAGUGAAGAAGGUCCUGCUCUUUGUGGUGGGGUUGACGGUAGCUGGGUUAAUGAAGCGCCGGCUAACUACGUG
Molecule: ribosomal RNA, 507 nt
Filed under: uncultured bacterium
Lineage: Bacteria
Description: partial 16S ribosomal RNA
Rfam family: Bacterial small subunit ribosomal RNA
Source: RNAcentral